AGAGUUUGAUCAUGGCUCAGGACGAACGCUGGCGGCGUGCGUAAUACAUGCAAGUCGAACGAACUCUGGUAUUGAUUGGUGCUUGCAUCAUGAUUUACAUUUGAGUGAGUGGCGAACUGGUGAGUAACACGUGGGAAACCUGCCCAGAAGCGGGGGAUAACACCUGGAAACAGAUGCUAAUACCGCAUAACAACUUGGACCGCAUGGUCCGAGCUUGAAAGAUGGCUUCGGCUAUCACUUUUGGAUGGUCCCGCGGCGUAUUAGCUAGAUGGUGGGGUAACGGCUCACCAUGGCAAUGAUACGUAGCCGACCUGAGAGGGUAAUCGGCCACAUUGGGACUGAGACACGGCCCAAACUCCUACGGGAGGCAGCAGUAGGGAAUCUUCCACAAUGGACGAAAGUCUGAUGGAGCAACGCCGCGUGAGUGAAGAAGGGUUUCGGCUCGUAAAACUCUGUUGUUAAAGAAGAACAUAUCUGAGAGUAACUGUUCAGGUAUUGACGGUAUUUAACCAGAAAGCCACGGCUAACUACGUGCCAGCAGCCGCGGUAAUACGUAGGUGGCAAGCGUUGUCCGGAUUUAUUGGGCGUAAAGCGAGCGCAGGCGGUUUUUUAAGUCUGAUGUGAAAGCCUUCGGCUCAACCGAAGAAGUGCAUCGGAAACUGGGAAGCUUGAGUGCAGAAGAGGACAGUGGAACUCCAUGUGUAGCGGUGAAAUGCGUAGAUAUAUGGAAGAACACCAGUGGCGAAGGCGGCUGUCUGGUCUGUAACUGACGCUGAGGCUCGAAAGUAUGGGUAGCAAACAGGAUUAGAUACCCUGGUAGUCCAUACCGUAAACGAUGAAUGCUAAGUGUUGGAGGGUUUCCGCCCUUCAGUGCUGCAGCUCACGCAUUAAGCAUUCCGCCUGGGGA
Molecule: ribosomal RNA, 907 nt
Filed under: uncultured bacterium
Lineage: Bacteria
Description: bacterial SSU rRNA
Rfam family: Bacterial small subunit ribosomal RNA
Source: RNAcentral